GCCGGAGUGGUGAAACUGGUAGACACGCAGCGUUCAGAGCGCUGUCCUGCUUGCAGGGUGGGAGUUCAAGUCUCCCCUCCGGCACCA
This 87-nucleotide transfer RNA is filed under the name Parcubacteria group bacterium. Its description in RNAcentral is "tRNA-Leu". It matches the Rfam family "tRNA". Rfam says of the family: Transfer RNA (tRNA) molecules are approximately 80 nucleotides in length. The record is from RNAcentral.